This is a long non-coding RNA of Cotesia glomerata, 229 nucleotides long. RefSeq lists it as uncharacterized. The record is from RefSeq and is a predicted model, not a curated record. The transcript has 2 exons. Lineage: Eukaryota; Metazoa; Arthropoda; Insecta; Hymenoptera; Braconidae.
CGUUGUCAAGAAAUAAAAGUUCAAGUCAGAACCAAAAUAUCACAGACGAUUCUUCGAAUUCUGCAGAAACUAAGUCCCACAACUAUGAACCUAAAAGAAGAAAACAAUCCACCCUUGAAAGUUGCUUAGAGAGAAGUUUAAGUUUUGAAGAAGGCGGACAGAAACAUAAUGAAAUUACUCAGGCAUUAAUUUAUAUGAUAUGUAAGGACAAUUUCCCACGAUUAUGUGU